Molecule: ribosomal RNA, 986 nt
Filed under: uncultured bacterium
Lineage: Bacteria
Description: bacterial SSU rRNA
Rfam family: Bacterial small subunit ribosomal RNA
Source: RNAcentral
UGUGCCAGCCGCCGCGGUAAUACGGAGGAUGCAAGCGUUAUCCGGAUUUAUUGGGUUUAAAGGGUGCGUAGGCGGGACUGUAAGUCAGGGGUGAAAUACUGCAGCUUAACUGUAGCAUUGCCUUUGAAACUGCCGUUCUUGAGUACAGUUGAGGUAGGCGGAAUGUGGUGUGUAGCGGUGAAAUGCAUAGAUAUACCACAGAACGCCGAUUGCGAAGGCAGCUUACUAAGCUGUUACUGACGCUGAGGCACGAAAGCGUGGGGAUCAAACAGGAUUAGAUACCCUGGUAGUCCACGCUGUAAACGAUGAUUACUGGUUGUUAGCGAUAUAUAGCUAGUGACUGAGCGAAAGCAUUAAGUAAUCCACCUGGGGAGUACGUCGGCAACGAUGAAACUCAAAGGAAUUGACGGGGGCCCGCACAAGCGGAGGAGCAUGUGGUUUAAUUCGAUGAUACGCGAGGAACCUUACCUGGGUUUAAAUGGGGAGUGACAGGUGUCGAAAGAUGCUUUUCCUUCGGGACACUCUUCAAGGUGCUGCAUGGUUGUCGUCAGCUCGUGCCGUGAGGUGUCGGGUUAAGUCCCAUAACGAGCGCAACCCUUGCCGAUAGUUGCCAUCACGUAAAGGUGGGCACUCUAUCGGGACUGCCGGUGUAAACCGUGAGGAAGGUGGGGAUGACGUCAAAUCAGCACGGCCCUUACAUCCAGGGCUACACACGUGUUACAAUGGCCAGUACAGAGGGCCGCUACCCCGCGAGGGGAUGCCAAUCUCGAAAGCUGGUCUCAGUUCGGAUUGAAGUCUGGAACCCGACUUCAUGAAGCCGGAUUCGCUAGUAAUCGCGCAUCAGCCACGGCGCGGUGAAUACGUUCCCGGGCCUUGUACACACCGCCCGUCAAGCCAUGGGAGCCGGGGGUACCUGAAGUAUGUAACCGCAAGGAGCGUACUAGGGUAAAACUGGUGACUGGGGCUAAGUCGUAACAAGGUAACCA